CCAGGAUGUAUUACAGUAUAUGGGUGCCCCCUAGCGUAUGAAGUUCUCGCUUCAAAUAAGAUUCAAUUUAGAGGAGCCAUCCGACACGGAAACUGCUUCAGUCUCGUCUCCCGCAUCGACCAAACUAACGAGCACCAUUUUAAACUGAUGACUGUUUGUUUAAAUUCUGUUUUACAUGACUUGGACGGCAAAGCUUUGAGAGUUGCCAAAGUUGGAUUUACUUUUUUGCCACUUCAGACAGUCCCCAGCGGUGAUCCGGUGAACAUGGAGAGUCUGUAAAUAAAAAUACACCGCAAGGUAUCCACUUACCGAGGAUCCAGCUUUGCUUCAAAUGGAACUACUGCUGAAGUACCCUUCGGCAAAGCAGCUUAAACCCCAUCUGUCCCAGUGGAGCUGCACAACGACCAGCAGUACAAGACUGCGGUUGUACUGGGCACUUGUGAGAUGUGUCUCUUUGAGUGUGACCUACCCUCCCUUUUCUUCUUAAGAGGGAGAGUGGGCAGUCCACUCGCCUCACAGUUUUGUUUUUUUAUCAUGUACUCAGACAGUGAAAAAGUUUGGGAGAAGACACAAGAGAGAAAGCUGUGGCAGCAUUCAGUCCUGAGCCCAGACAUGGUUCACAUGUGGCCCCAAAGGCAGCAGACGGUGUAUUGAAUUACUGUAACACAAGGUGUAAUGUGGUAGCAGUGUGGGAUAUGUAUAUAUUACACAAACGGAUGUAGAAGCGGCUUACUUCAGCUUUCUAUUACAGCUAUUUAAUGUUGGAUUGUAUGGUUUAUUUUCUCAAAUUUCAGCUAUAACUAUUUAUUAGUUAAAAUGACAGCCAUGUUUUCUACAGUGAUCAUUAAUGUCUCAUUAUCAUUGAAUUAACCAGUUAUAUCAAACUGAUACUGUGAAAACCUUGUAUCCAUAGGUUUUGUUAUUUCCAUGUACGUCAAAGAAUUACAUGGAUUGUAUUACGAGGAGAAAACACUUACAGCUAUAGCCGCGUUUCUUACUUCUUGAAGAUUUUGAAUUUUCCUGUGACAAUGUACAAUUAUGGGAUGACCAAUAAAGUAUUACUGUUUCAAGUGUUAGUAGUUAAAUAAGUAGUGCUGUGUAUAAUUGAAAAUUGCAGUCUUACACCUGCCACAUCUAUGACUAAUAAAGUUUUAAGAUCUCA
Molecule: long non-coding RNA, 1162 nt
Organism: Dicentrarchus labrax (European seabass)
Lineage: Eukaryota; Metazoa; Chordata; Actinopteri; Moronidae
Exons: 3
Source: RefSeq, a predicted model, not a curated record